RNAcentral lists this transfer RNA (66 nucleotides) under Perccottus glenii (Chinese sleeper). Its description in RNAcentral is "tRNA-Cys". Lineage: Eukaryota; Metazoa; Chordata; Actinopteri; Gobiiformes; Odontobutidae. The record is from RNAcentral.
AAGCCCCGAGGUGUUAACAUAUAAGAUUGCAAAUCUUAAGUAGCAGAGUAGAGCCUGCCGGGGCUU